RNAcentral lists this ribosomal RNA (385 nucleotides) under uncultured prokaryote. RNAcentral describes it as "partial 16S ribosomal RNA". The record is from RNAcentral.
CCCUACGGGGCGCACCAGGCAGCCGAUUCGACCUCAAUGCUCCUUGUUGAAUCUGCACAGAGCAUGGCCAAUCGAAUGGAAGCAUUUUGUUGGGAUGAAGGCAAUGACGAUUGGAGCCAAGCUUUGAAGGGAUUACCAUAUAUUCGAGUGAUUGAUAAAAGCGGCAAGCCUUUGACCAAUUCGAUCCUUGAAUCUCAUCGCAUAAAUAGUCCGUAUAUCUUAGAGUCAAAAGAUAAGACGUUCUUUGAACAGAUUAAAGGCGAUCUGGGUAUCAUGGAGACUGGCAGAGUGGACCUUCAACUUCUUGCCAGGACGCUUCUGAAAUAUGAUAUCAACUCACUUUUGCAUGGAGUGUUUCUUGCAAAGAAGGAAUUGGCGGGGGGGC